GGAAUAUUGGACAAUGGGCGAAAGCCUGAUCCAGCCAUGCCGCGUGUGUGAAGAAGGUCUUCGGAUUGUAAAGCACUUUACGUUGGGAGGAAGGGUAGUAACCUAAUACGUUGCUAUUUUUACGUUACCGACAGAAUAAGCACCGGCUAACUUCGUGCCAGCAGCCGCGGUAAUACGAAUGGUGCAAGCGGUAAUCGGACUUACUGGGCGUAAAGCGCGCGUAGGAGGUUCAGUAAGUUGGAUGUGAAAUCCCCGGGCUCAACCUGGGAACUGCAUCCAAAACUGCUGAACUAGAGUACGGUAGAGGGUGGUGGAAUUUCCUGUGUAGCGGUGAAAUGCGUAGAUAUAGGAAGGAACACCAGUGGCGAAGGCGACCACCUGGACUGAUACUGACACUGAGGUGCGAAAGCGUGGGGAGCAAAC
Molecule: ribosomal RNA, 423 nt
Filed under: uncultured bacterium
Lineage: Bacteria
Description: bacterial SSU rRNA
Rfam family: Bacterial small subunit ribosomal RNA
Source: RNAcentral